CCGGAUCAGCGUAUCGGAUCUUGGGUUUAAGGGUGCGUAGGCGGAGUACUAAGUCAGCGAUGAAAUCCUGCAGCUUAACUGUAGAACUGUCAUUGAUACUGGUAUUCUUGAAUGCAGUUGAGUGUAGGCGGAAUGUGUAAUGUAGCGGUGAAAUGCUUAGAUAUUACACAGAACACCGAUUGCGAAGGCAGCUUACUAAACUGUGAUUGACGCUGAGGCACGAAAGCGUGGGGAGCAAACAGGAUUAGAUACCCUGGUAGUCCACGCCGUAAACUAUGAUUACUCGCUGUUGGCGAUACAUUGUCAGCGGCUGAGCGAAAGCAUUAAGUAAUCCACCUGGGGAGUACGAUCGCAAGGUUGAAACUCAAAGGAAUUGACGGGGGCCCGCACAAGCGGAGGAACAUGUGGUUUAAUUCGAUGAUACCGCCGAGGAACCUUACCUGGGCUUAAAUGUAGACGCGACAAGACUGGGAAAACUGGUCCUUCUUCGGACGAUCUACAAGGUGCUGCAUGGUUGUCGUCAGCUCGUGCCGUGAGGUGUCGGGUUAAGUCCCAUAACGAGCGCAACCCUUAUCGUUAGUUGCCAGCGGGUAAUGCCGGGGACUCUAGCAGAAACUGCCGGUGUAAACCGUGAGGAAGGUGGGGAUGACGUCAAAUCAGCACGGCCCUUAUGUCCAGGGCGACACACGUGUUACAAUGGCCGGUACAGAGGGCAGCUACCUGGUAACAGGAUGCAAAUCUCCAAAACCGGUCUCAGUUCGGAUCGAAGUCUGCAACUCGACUUCGUGAAGCUGGAUUCGCUAGUAAUCGCGCAUCAGCCAUGGCGCGGUGAAUACGUUCCCGGGCCUUGUACACACCGCCCGUCAAACCAUGGAAGACCGGGGGUACCUGAAGUCCGUAACCGACAGGAGCGGCCUAAGUAAAUGUACUGG
This 932-nucleotide ribosomal RNA is filed under the name uncultured bacterium. Its description in RNAcentral is "bacterial SSU rRNA". It matches the Rfam family "Bacterial small subunit ribosomal RNA", at positions 530 to 1470 of the family's 1533-position model. The record is from RNAcentral.